UACAGAGGUCUCGAGCGUUAGGCGGAAUCACUGGGCUUAAAGCGUGUGUAGGUGGAUCGGUAAGUACCUUGUGAAAUCCCACAGCUUAACUGUGGAACUGCUUGGUAUACUGCCAGUCUUGAGCCAGCUAGGGGCUACCGGAACAAAUGGUGGAGCGGUGAAAUGCGCAGAUAUCAGGAAGAACACCCGUGGCGAAGGCGGCUCUCUGGUACGUGACUGACGCUGAGACGCGAAAGCGUGGGGAGCGAACAGG
Molecule: ribosomal RNA, 253 nt
Filed under: uncultured bacterium
Lineage: Bacteria
Description: partial 16S ribosomal RNA
Rfam family: Bacterial small subunit ribosomal RNA
Source: RNAcentral